UUCAGAUCAUCAUGGAUAAAACACAAACGUCUGGAGAUGAAGAUUUGUUUCCAGGAUGCAGUUCAGUUCAGCAGAGGAGAUCAGAAGCAGAGCCCAGCCAUGUGUCUAUGAAGAGUGACUCGUCUAUGAUUCAGCCAGUAAAGUUUAAGAGUGGAGAUACACGGCCUGGUCUCAGCCAUGAAGUUCUCAACACAUUUAAAUCAA
Long non-coding RNA from Sinocyclocheilus rhinocerous, 204 nucleotides. RefSeq lists it as uncharacterized. The transcript has 3 exons. NCBI's taxonomy places the organism in Eukaryota, Metazoa, Chordata, Actinopteri, Cypriniformes, Cyprinidae. The record is from RefSeq and is a predicted model, not a curated record.